Long non-coding RNA from Macaca mulatta (Rhesus monkey), 3711 nucleotides. The record is from Ensembl. Lineage: Eukaryota; Metazoa; Chordata; Mammalia; Primates; Cercopithecidae.
AAAAAAUAAAUAAGAAAGCCCUAUGUAUUUAAGGGUGUCUAUUUUAAUGUUUUGCUUUCAUAAUACCAUGUUCUCAGUUACUCCCUGACUUGCCAACCUGUUGAAUUUCCUCUGAGUUUCUUAAGCUGUUGGAGCAGCUCAUAUCCAUAUCAAUGUGUUCUCCCUUAUGUGCACCCUUGACUGUUAUGUUUUAUUUAAAGGUAAUGGCUUUAACCCAAAGGAAUGACUUAUUUUGAAUACUUAGAGUUUGGGUCAAAUGGACCCAUUGUAUGAACACAUUGUAUCCCCUUGGCCACCUGUGACUUCAGCCAGGCCCAUAGUAGACAUGUAGACAUUUACCUCCCACUUCAUCCUUGCAGUGUGCUCCCCAGGCUCACACUGGCUUUUUUGAGGGGCUUGGCUUUUGCCAAUCCAUGCUCUUUUCUAUGCGCAGCCUGGAAGAGCUGAGGAGUUACUAUUUGUGACAAGUCUGAGAAGCAUACAGACCCCUCCUCAAAAGUGAAAAACGGGAGUGCAGAUUUCAAUAAUGCGCCUCACAUUGACUUUUUCUCCUUCCCUGUUUCACUUCUUUUUCACUCCUGGUUCCUGGGUGCAGGCAGUUUAUGUAGGAGGCAAUCCCAAAUUCUUAUCUUAGUCUCCGCUUUUAGGAGACUGCUAUGAUCUGAAUGUUUGUGUUUCUCCAGAAUUUAUGUUGAAAUCCUAAUCCUAAAGGUGAUGAUAUUAGGAGGUGGGGCCUUUAGGAGGUGAGGCCUUUAGGAGGCGAUUAGGUCAUGAAAGCAGAGCCCUCACGAAUCGGAUUAGUGCCCUUAUAAAAGAAGCCAGAGGAAGCUCAGUCACCUCUUCCAUCAUGUGAGAACAUGGUGAAAAGACAGCCACUGCUGGGAUUAUAGGUGUGAGCCACCACACCUGGUCCCUUUAGCUUUUUAAAUAGUCUUUAUUUUUUAGUAACUUUAAGUUUUCAUUUAAAUUUGGAGAAAUGCCCUCAUUCACCUCUCCUUCCUCAAGAUUCUCCUAUUGUUAACAUCUUGCCUUACUAUGGUAUACUUGUUACAAUUGAUGAGCUAAUAUUGGUAAAAUGUUAACAAAAGUUCAGUUUUUUCCCCCUAAGAUGGCAGAUGAAAGGCUUUUUGUGUGCCUCAACCACUUGGAAGGAGCAAAUAGUACGUAACGAUCAACUUGGUGAGCUUUAGUUCAAGAAGGAAAAUGGGAAUUCACCAAAAUGGCAAAGGACACCCCAGAUCCUGGAGAGGAGAAGGUGGGCAAACAGGGUCCAGCUGUGCCCUGAUAAAAGUCAGUGCAGCCCCAUUACACGAGACGGGUAGAGAGCCUCCCUCUGUAACUCGCCAUUCCACUAGGGAUCCAUGCAACUCUAGCCAAGGGAGGGCAUCUUGUUUCUCCCAAGCUCCAGAGCUAAUCUGGGGAGAGGCUUGCAGACACUGAGCAGGAAAGACACCAGGAAAAGCUGCAGGCAUUUUCCCAGGCCCGAGACUGAGAGGAGGACGCCAUUUUGAACCCAGGCUCAUAGAAAGUCAGCCAUUCUUCAGCAACCCAGCAACAUGGCCACACAGGCAUUUUAGUCUCAGAACAAAGAUUGGAGUGCUUUCUGUGGAGCUGGAGAAGAGUCCCCACAGCCAGAACUGAGAAGCAGGUGUGGAAAGCACCCCAGCGGUAGGUGCUGGAAUUGGGCUCUCCUUCGUUGCAGGUCUGUAGUAGGAGACUUGCUGAAGCUAGUCUCUCCUGGGCAGCAAGACUUGCUGCCAGGGCCAGUUUGCCAACCUGGAGCUGGUCUGCGUGUAUCACUGCUCGGUGCUCCAGCCUGCUUUUCUGAGAUCGUGGUGCAGUGGGGCCCUCUCUACCCUGUGCUGAGGCAUAUCACCAAGCACUUGCAACACCAAUCCCACUGGAUUAGCAGCCUGAGCUACCCCAUCCUUCCUGUACAGAGAUCUUGGUGUAGUGGUGCUCCCUUCACACCAUGCAUGGGCCUACCUCUAGGUGUUUGGCACACACUCUCACCUGGAUUAGCUGCCUGAGCUGACGCCUUUCCUGAAAAGACUUUGUUGCACUGUUACUCUGCUCCCCACUGGGGGACAUAUUUUCAGGCAUUCAGCACACGUGCUCACCUGCCUGAGCUUCCUUCCUGCGCAGAGAUCUUGGUGCAGUGGUACACUCUCUGCUCCAUGCCUGGACAUAUCUCUGAGCCUUUGGCAUACCUGCCCCUUUGGAAUAGGAGCUUGAGCUUCCAUCCCUUUCCCAUGCAGUGAACUUGGUGCAGUGACGCUUCCUCUACUCCACAGUUGGACAUAACUCCAGGCAUUUGGCACACUAGGUCCCACAGAUUAGGAGCUUGAGCCACCUAUCCCUUCCCAGGCAAAGAUCUUAUUAUGGCAGUGAUUUCUCUGCUCCUAUCCCAGGCAUUUCACCUGGCAUGAGGCACACCUGCUCUCUUGGAGUAGGAGACUGAACCACCCUUCCCAUUCCCUGGAAAGACCUUGUUGCAGCAGCAGUUUCUGCACUCCUUGCUGAGGCAUAUUUCCAGGCAUUUGGCAUACCUGCUUGCCUGGAUUAGAAGCCUGAGCCACGCCCACCUUCAGGUGUGGAGAUUGUGGUGCAGUAGCUCACCCUCCUCUCAAUGCCCAGACAUAUUUCCAGACAUUUCGAGCACCAAUUCAUCUAGAUUAGGAGUUUACACCUCUCCUCUUCUUAUGCAGAGAACUUGGGGCAGAGGACAUUUUCAAACUCCAUAACUAGGCACACCUCUGGGCACUUGGUAGCCACCCACUGCCCCCCCGGCCCCAACCUUGGAGCUAGUGUUUGUGCCUGUUAUUGGGGGACCCAUAAGAGGACCUGCCACAGAGGCAACAGAGCUUCUCCCAGUAAACAAAGACCAGGUAUAUACCCAUCUGCAUUGGCUGCAGCCAGCUCUUACCUGUAUGAGAUACCUACUGACCUGGAGGUUGAAUGGCACAACACAAUAGAAAAUCUGUUGACACGAGUGCUCAGCAGUUGGGAACAAGGAAAGCUUCCUGAGACCUCUGCCACCCCAGCCACACAGGAGGCAGUUUGCCCACACGCCCAACACAUCACUGCUACAACCAGCAUUUGGAAAAGCUGUUAUACAAAGUUACCUAUAACCAAGGAAUGUAUACAGACUGCCAUCAAAGACACACAGAACCAGACAGGGCUAAUCCCUGGCAUGGUCUUCCCCUAAAUAAGUGGGGAGCACAGCCCACCAAAGCACCCCUUGGGCCAAAGGAAACAUGAGUGCAGCACCAGCGCUUGAAGACAGCACCACCAAAGCUCAGGGAUGGACACAGAGAAUGGGUAGUCUCUCCCCUUCACACUGCUGUGGACUCAGCAGCACCUCUUUCCAUAAGAACCCAGGGAAUGUAGGCUGAAAGAGACCACUUAUUAGGCAUCUACAGUGACGGUUGAACACUUGCUCGGGGAGGGUGCUUUUCACUUCUCCGUUGCCCCUGCUCCUACCUGUUGGCUCUUACUUUUCAGCACCACCUUCUGGAGAGAAGAUUGACAAGCAACACCUAAGAAGGCCACCGCAGGAACCUAUUUGCAAUCAAGGAACCCAGCAGAGCCUUGGCUCCCUAAAAGCACCCAGAAACAAAGUCAAUCUAUUAUACACAGUAUACACUGCAGUCAUACCCCCAAGGGAAAAAAGAAUAGGAAAUCAAGAAGCUCCAUUCAAACAAUAGCAAA